This 362-nucleotide small RNA is filed under the name Drosophila yakuba. RNAcentral's name for it is "GE29105". The record is from RNAcentral. Lineage: Eukaryota; Metazoa; Arthropoda; Insecta; Diptera; Drosophilidae.
UUCGGCUAUUAUUAGCUUGAAUUAAACUCAUAUUUGAUCCUACCUUAACAAUUUGUGAAAGAACCCAGAACAUACAAGAGACGAAAAAUGUCCGAAAAAGAAAACUCCAUUAAAAAGAAACUACCUGUUAUUUUAAAUGGCCAAUUUUUUAAGCCAGAUGGCAAAUGUGUAUUGUGUGUAAAUAAAAAUUAAAUUCGACGAAAAUUCAACUGGAAAUUUACACAAACAUCUUAAGAGGGUGCAUCCAAACAGCUACGCGUCAUAUUAGGCCAUGAAAUCAAAAGUGGCAAAAAAGGAAGAGAAUAAAUUAUCAGAGCCUAAGCAAGCAAAUUUCUUCUAUUUCCAAGGUUCAAGCAAGGUAA